Molecule: long non-coding RNA, 638 nt
Filed under: Cyanistes caeruleus (blue tit)
Lineage: Eukaryota; Metazoa; Chordata; Aves; Passeriformes; Paridae
Description: lncRNA (ENSCCEG00000024372.1)
Source: RNAcentral
CUGUGGUUCAACAGUGCUUUCUCACUUUCUCUUCUCAGUGUUCACACCUGGAGGUGAUAACAGGAUGACCAGCAAGAGGUUGUGUGCUGGAAAAAGGGGUCACUUGGGCCAGUGAACCAAAGAUGGGCUGCCAAAACCCUAAUCUAGGCAUUGAGGAAAGAUUUAAUGAGGGCUCUGGGGCUGCAGAGGCCUCCUGUUUAAGGCUGAGGAUGGGUCCAAAGCUGGUGAUGCUCAGUGCAGAAGCAGAAGGCACUGAGUGAAGGCUGAGUGACCUCUCCAGAAGGAUGAGAAGCAAUGGAAGGUGAGACUGAGCCUGAAUGGAAGGAAGAUUCAGAUAAGGCUGAAGAGGAAGAGAAUGUGGAGGAAGAGGUGGAGAAUGUGUUUUAUUUCUCACUGGAGCCGUGUGUGGCCACCAGGACAAGCUGUGGCUGCAGUUUCUGGACACGGCCAAACACGAGGGAGAAUGAAAGGUUGUGUCACCUUUGCUUGAUCUGCAAGUGAUUUUGUGCCAAAUCAAAUCAGAACCUCACCACAGCAGCAAAAACUCCUGUCCACCUGUUGGUGAAGCUGCAUCUUCCCAAUCAAUGUCUUUGCAGAGGCAGUUUUUGUUUUUGUUUGCUUGUGUUUUGUUUUUUUUU